RNAcentral lists this ribosomal RNA (610 nucleotides) under uncultured bacterium. RNAcentral describes it as "bacterial SSU rRNA". It matches the Rfam family "Bacterial small subunit ribosomal RNA", at positions 242 to 868 of the family's 1533-position model. The record is from RNAcentral.
UAGGUAGUUGGUGAGGUAACGGCUCACCAAGCCGACGAUGGGUAGCUGGUCUGAGAGGAUGGUCAGCCACACUGGGACUGAGACACUGCCCAGACUCCUACGGGAGGCUGCAGUCGAGAAUCUUGGGCAAUGCGCGAAAGCGUGACCCAGCAAUACCGCGUGUAUGAUGAAGGCCCUCGGGUCGUAAAGUACUGUCUCCCGUGACGAAAUUUGACGGUAACGGGGAAGGAAGCCACGGCUAACUACGUGCCAGCAGCCGCGGUAAUACGUAGGUGGCGAGCGUUGUUCGGAUUUAUUGGGCGUAAAGGGUCUGUAGGAGGUUCGUUAAAUACGGGGUGAAAUCCCGAAGCUCAACUUCGGAAUUGCCUUGUAGACUGAUGGACUGGAGUACCGGAGAGGUAAGCGGAAUACCAGGUGUAGCGGUGGAAUGCGUAGAUAUCUGGUAGAACACCAAAAGCGAAGGCAGCUUGCUGGACGGAAACUGACUCUGAAAGACGAAAGCAUGGGGAGCAAACAGGAUUAGAUACCCUGGUAGUCCAUGCCGUAAACGUUGUCAACUUGAUGUGGGGGGAUUUAGUCCUCCCCGUAUCGAAGCUAACGCGAUAAGUGA